CUUGUUAACAGUAUGCGAUAUAAAAGAGAUCUAAUCCUAGAUGACGUCUUGUUAUGUUGCCCAAGCUGGUCUCAAACUCCUGGCCGCAAGCAAUCCUCCUGCCUCAGCCUCCCAAAGUGCUGGGAUGACAGACAGGGUCUCACUCUGUCGCCCAGGCUGGAGUGCAGUGGUGCAGUCAUAGCUCCUGCAGCCUCGAACUCCUGGACUACAGUGAUCCCCCCACCUCAGCCUCCCAAGUAGUCGGGACUACAGGAGGACGCAUUUGUCAGACCAAGCAUGGAUCAUCUCCAUGGUGGUGGUGGCAUCAUGAGAAAGUGAGGACUCUGUCGGGGGAGAACUGACUGAGCACUCCCCAUGAGGUGGGACAGUUUGAGGGAUUAACUUGCAUUGUUUUGAUUAAUCUUCAAAAGAACUGCAUAUUAAGUGGCUGGUUAAGCAUUUAUUCAUUUAACACAUUGUUAAUGGUCUCUUAUGUAAUCAACGAAUGAGACAGACAAGAUUCUUGCCUUCAUGGAGCUCACAUUCUAGCAGGGAGAAACAGACAAGAAACAAGCAAGCAACUUGUGUGGAAAUACAGUGACAGGUUGGAAAAUAUGCUGUCGAUGACGUUUGAGCUGAGGCCCGGAGGAUAAGGAAGUGAAAGACACGUGAGAAUCUGCAGAGGCAAAAGGAAGCAACAGGGAGUGCAAUGACCCCAAGGGGACAGCAGGCCUGGAGGGUUGGGGGACAGAAAGGAGUUCUGCAAGGCUGAGUGGAGUGGUCAGGGCCGCAAGUGGUUCCAAGGGGGUGGACUAAGAAGUUGGCAGCCAUAACUUACAGAACUUGCUAAUGGGGGAUGAGAGAAAGGGAGGAAGGAAUGAAGAAUGACUCCUAGGUUUGGGUGUAAGCCACAGAAUGGAUGAUGGAACCUCUAUACUGAGAUAUGGGCAGCAGGUUUGGGGAGGAGAAUCAAGAGCUCUGUUUUAGAUGGAUUAACUUUGAGAUAUUUAUUAGACAGUCAACUAGAGAUGAUAGGAGAGAGUUGGCUUUAUGAAUCUAGAG
This is a long non-coding RNA of Gorilla gorilla gorilla (western lowland gorilla), 1041 nucleotides long. RefSeq lists it as uncharacterized. The record is from RefSeq and is a predicted model, not a curated record. NCBI's taxonomy places the organism in Eukaryota, Metazoa, Chordata, Mammalia, Primates, Hominidae. The transcript has 4 exons.